AAAAAAAACUUGAAAAGCUUCCAAGUUCUAUAAUUCAACCUCCGAGUUGUAAUUUCAAGAUAUAUUAAUUUCUAUCUGAUCUUCUAGAAUGCCACUUGAAAUGAAAGGCGUGGAGCCCAUGAGAGGGUUGAUCUAAAAUCUUCAAAUUACCCAUCGUUCUUGUAUUGUUUAUAACCAAGGAAAGGUAGACAGACCCCUUGGCUGCUAGGUCUGGAUAUAUAGAAGACCAUUUUUGUAAUAGCAGAGUUUUUUCUUCGAUGGGAAAGAACAUCUCCAGUCUUG
Molecule: long non-coding RNA, 282 nt
Filed under: Populus tremula
Lineage: Eukaryota; Viridiplantae; Streptophyta; Magnoliopsida; Malpighiales; Salicaceae
Description: long non-coding RNA (PTRE_LNC000455)
Source: RNAcentral